This 373-nucleotide ribosomal RNA is filed under the name uncultured organism. RNAcentral's name for it is "bacterial SSU rRNA". It matches the Rfam family "Bacterial small subunit ribosomal RNA", at positions 526 to 896 of the family's 1533-position model. The record is from RNAcentral.
CAGAGGGGGCAAGCGUUAUUCGGAAUUAUUGGGCGUAAAGGGCGCGUAGGCGGCUAUCCAAGUGGCGGGUGAAAUCCCUCGGCUUAACCGAGGAACUGCCUGCCAGACUGGAUGGCUCGAGACCGGGAGAGGGUGAGUGGAAUUCCCAGUGUAGCGGUGAAAUGCGUAGAUAUUGGGAGGAACACCAGUGGCGAAGGCGGCUCACUGGACCGGUACUGACGCUGAGGCGCGAAAGCGUGGGGAGCAAACAGGAUUAGAUACCCUGGUAGUCCACGCCGUAAACGAUGAGUGCUUGGUGUAGCGGGUAUCGACCCCUGCUGUGCCGACGUCAACACAUUAAGCACUCCGCCUGGGGAGUACGGUCGCAAGACUG